This 509-nucleotide ribosomal RNA is filed under the name Candida albicans. Its description in RNAcentral is "eukaryotic LSU rRNA". The stretch from base 141 to 294 matches the Rfam family "5.8S ribosomal RNA". The record is from RNAcentral. Lineage: Eukaryota; Fungi; Ascomycota; Pichiomycetes; Serinales; Debaryomycetaceae.
GAUAUGGAAUGCUAUUGCACCACAUGUGUUUUUCUUUGAAACAAACUUGCUUUGGCGGUGGGCCCAGCCUGCCGCCAGAGGUCUAAACUUACAACCAAUUUUUUAUCAACUUGUCACACCAGAUUAUUACUAAUAGUCAAAACUUUCAACAACGGAUCUCUUGGUUCUCGCAUCGAUGAAGAACGCAGCGAAAUGCGAUACGUAAUAUGAAUUGCAGAUAUUCGUGAAUCAUCGAAUCUUUGAACGCACAUUGCGCCCUCUGGUAUUCCGGAGGGCAUGCCUGUUUGAGCGUCGUUUCUCCCUCAAACCGCUGGGUUUGGUGUUGAGCAAUACGACUUGGGUUUGCUUGAAAGACGGUAGUGGUAAGGCGGGAUCGCUUUGACAAUGGCUUAGGUCUAACCAAAAACAUUGCUUGCGGCGGUAACGUCCACCACGUAUAUCUUCAAACUUUGACCUCAAAUCAGGUAGGACUACCCGCUGAACUUAAGCAUAUCAAAAGCCGGGAGGAA